AGCCGUGUGACGGACACAUAGCGAACUAUUCUUUCGCCUUUUACUAAAGAAUACCGUGUGUUCAUCACUUAAAAGCGGCAUACGCUAGUUUUUGGAAGAGCCUUCUAUAUAGAGGCUC
Small nuclear RNA from Cajanus cajan (pigeon pea), 118 nucleotides. It matches the Rfam family "U5 spliceosomal RNA". From Rfam's summary of the family: U5 RNA is a component of both types of known spliceosome. The record is from Rfam. Lineage: Eukaryota; Viridiplantae; Streptophyta; Magnoliopsida; Fabales; Fabaceae.